This is a long non-coding RNA of Trachemys scripta elegans, 1528 nucleotides long. RefSeq lists it as uncharacterized. The record is from RefSeq and is a predicted model, not a curated record. The transcript has 5 exons. Lineage: Eukaryota; Metazoa; Chordata; Testudines; Emydidae.
CUCUGAGUCUCCACUGACCAAAGACAAUACUGGACAAGCAACCAUCAAGCAGACAAACCAUGAAGACACUUUUAGGAAGAAGCCUGAUUGUGAAAGCAAUGCAGGGUUGUGUUAUCAAAGCAAUAAAUAUAGAGGAAGGAUUAUUGUCAGUCCUGGGGGAUCUAAACAGCAUAGAAGGGAGUGAACAAGCUGGGGUGUGAUCUUGAAUUCAAAGAGUCUCCCUUACUACUGUAACAGAUAUUCAGACAUGUACAUGUUUGCUCACCAAAUAUUUGCAGAGAAUAAAAAUCUUGUGACUACUUGGCAACUACGUAUUCACUCACAGGUGCAAACCCUGAGUGUCUUGUUCGAGCCCUUCUUCUGCUUAUCAAAAUUUCAGUUAUUCAACCAAGGAGCAUGAACGAUACCAGGAGGAGACUAAUCACACACCACCUUUCUAUGUCAAGUGAAGCUCUGCGUUCCCACUCUGCUUUCGAGAUUUCUCUGCUUUGUCCUUCAGUUGUGAUAUAGAAAGAAAAGUUUAAAAAUUAUUUAAUAUAAACAAAAAGAAGACAGGCAAUAUGGUGAGAAAAAUAAUACGACUCUAAUGCACUGAAACUGUAUAGUACUGAAGGAGUCAAAGGAUGGGAAGACAGCUGUAAUUCUCUGUGAUCUAGUUACUGAUAAGCCCUAACAGUGGUGAAACAGCCAUCUUUCUUCAAUCAGUGAUGCCUCCUGUUAGUUAGAGCACAGCCCAAGACUCCUUCAGGUUUUCCAGGUACUUUUUUUUAAUCCAAUUAAACUCAAAGACAUCACUUCUCUGCACCUUGUACAACUCCUUUGUUGCUGUCUUUGCAAAGUAUUUUUUGGGUGUAAAUUUAACCAGGAUCAAAUUUGCAAAUGACACUAAAUUUUGAGGGGUAACAAACACACAGGAGGACAAAACUAAACUGCAAAGUGAGAUGGAAAAUGGGGGCUGCAGGGAACAAGCAGAGAUCCACAUCUACAGUGAAAUAAGCAACAAAGAUACAAGGUGAAGAGAAAUAACCAUGCAGCUGCGUUGGUUGCAUUUAAAUGAAGUUAUUUUCAUCUGGUCUCCAGUAGAGUGAAGAUGAGGAAUCAUAACCAGACAGUUAGGAGGGGAGGUGUCCCAUAAAAGGAUCUCAAGAAGUGGUGUACAGAAUAAAAAAGUUUGAUGACACCUGUUCUAAAGUGCAAGCCAGCAUCAAUCCAAGCUUCUCCACACUGUACCACCAAUGUGCUUUAACCCUGACUUCGAGGGAUCACCCUGAGAUGUAAGGGAACAAUUCCUCCUCCACAGCCAUUCAGUCUCUGCUCAUUGGGGAAUUCAAGGCAGAUCCUUCAAACGCCAAGCCACACAUUUGUAUGCAUCUCUGAAACUGAACGCAGAGAGCAUUAGGCUCCCCAUGUCUACCCUUAAGCUAGAAGGCUGGACCCUAUGACAGAGACUUACAUUAUAGGUACUCUCACUGCAGGUCUGUUUGCUGUAUUUGUAAUAUAUUUGCUAAUGUAUGUGUUACUUGAUCAA